Non-coding RNA from Echinococcus granulosus, 119 nucleotides. NCBI's taxonomy places the organism in Eukaryota, Metazoa, Platyhelminthes, Cestoda, Cyclophyllidea, Taeniidae. The record is from Rfam.
GCCGGUGAUCGUACCACUUAGAAAGCAGCUGUUCUCGUCCACUCACCAAAUCUAAGCUACUUUGGGCCAGCUUAGUACCUGCAUGGGUGACCGGCUGGAAACAUUCGGUCUUACUGGCC